This 201-nucleotide small RNA is filed under the name uncultured Paenibacillus sp. Its description in RNAcentral is "ydaO/yuaA leader". It matches the Rfam family "c-di-AMP riboswitch aptamer (ydaO/yuaA leader)", at positions 11 to 130 of the family's 134-position model. From Rfam's summary of the family: This family represents a conserved RNA structure found upstream of the ydaO and yuaA genes in Bacillus subtilis and related genes in other bacteria. The ydaO/yuaA element is thought to act as a genetic "off" switch for the ydaO and yuaA genes in its native state. Lineage: Bacteria; Bacillati; Bacillota; Bacilli; Caryophanales; Paenibacillaceae. The record is from RNAcentral.
CUCGCUGAAUCUCCUUCACCGGAGAACGGGGGAACCGAUACAGGCAGCGGUUGGCGGCAAGCCUCUCGCGUCGGUAUUUGAUUUCUUUCCAGGGUCUUUGGGGUGAAUUCGAGGUCAUUGCGCCAUGAGCGAAUGAACUGAGAAAGGGCGGCUCUCUUUCGUCCUAACCCGACAGCUAACCUCGUAAGCGUAUAAGAGAGG